AUCCCAGUCUCCCAUCACCUUUUCUACUUUUCAAUUAAAUAACUGCAAAUCAUUUUGUUUUUAUAGGAUUUGGGCAAGCUCCUGGCCAGCUAGGGCAGCAAGCUAAACCCUCCAAACAGUAUGGUGGACUGAGGGACAUGCUGGGGGCAUACAGAGGAGGUGUUCCCUGCGCGCAAGGCAAAUACUGCGGGCGAAGGAGAAAAUAAAAGAUCUGAGAAUGAAGCGACCUCAAGAAUUAUGGUGCUACUGCAUGAUCUAGAAUGUAAAUGGUGUUGCAUUAAAAAAAAAAUCCCCCUUUUUCAUGUACAAAAUAAAAAAUGACACUUCGAUUAAGCUCGGUUAUACCAGAUAAAUAGUCCAUAAAAAUGUUAAAUUGGAAGGGAGGGUCAUUAAAAUGCAAUACACUAGGUCAUACCCUUAUGAAUAUUGUUAUACUGCUUAUGUAUACUGGCAGCAUAGACUUGAUAUAAAAAGUGUACUGUGCCUGUAGUAUAUUACUUUCUCAUAAGGAUAGGCUUUGUGUAAUAACCUCUGUAUUAUAGUGAACCUGUUUAAAAGUGUCUAUAUCUCCUUUUAUACAUACUGUGGGAACUCACUCUUUCACGUGUCCCCAAAUGCAUUGCCCAUUUUUCACUUCUGC
Long non-coding RNA from Polyodon spathula (Mississippi paddlefish), 640 nucleotides. RefSeq lists it as uncharacterized. NCBI's taxonomy places the organism in Eukaryota, Metazoa, Chordata, Actinopteri, Acipenseriformes, Polyodontidae. The record is from RefSeq and is a predicted model, not a curated record. The transcript has 3 exons.